Molecule: ribosomal RNA, 863 nt
Filed under: uncultured Chloroflexota bacterium
Lineage: Bacteria; Bacillati; Chloroflexota
Description: bacterial SSU rRNA
Rfam family: Bacterial small subunit ribosomal RNA
Source: RNAcentral
GAUAAACGCUGGCGGCGUGCCUUAUGCAUGCAAGUCGUACGGUACUGAUAAAUCAGGCUUGCCUGGGAUAUCAGGAGAGUGGCGAACGGGUGAGUAACACGUAAGUAACCUACCCCUAAGUAGGGGAUAACUCUGAGAAAUUGGAGCUAAUACCGUAUGUGGUGGUGAAGGUAAUGCUUCAUCCCUAAAGCCUUAGGGCACUUGGGGAGGGGCUUGCGUCCGAUUAGCUAGUUGGUAGGGUAAUGGCUUACCAAGGCGAAGAUCGGUAGCUGGUUUGAGAGGACGGUCAGCCACACUGGGACUGAGAUACGGCCCAGACUCCUACGGGAGGCAGCAGCGAGGAAUUUUGUGCAAUGGGCGAAAGCCUGACACAGCGACGCCGCGUGGGGGAUGACGGCUUUCGAGUUGUAAACCCCUUUUCCCAGGGAAGAAUAAUGACGGUACCUGGGGAAUAAGUCUCGGCUAACUACGUGCCAGCAGCCGCGGUAAUACGUAGGAGGCAAGCGUUAUCCGGAUUUACUGGGCGUAAAGAGGGCGCGGGCGGUUCUUCAAGUCGGAUGUAAAAUCUCCCGGCUUAACUGGGAGGGAUCAUUCGAUACUGUUGGGCUAGAGGACAGCAGAGGGAGGUGGAAUUCCCGGUGUAGUGGUGAAAUGCGUAGAUAUCGGGAGGAACACCAGUGGCGAAGGCGGCCUCCUGGGCUGUGCCUGACGCUGAGGCCCAAAGGCGUGGGGAGCGAACAGGAUCAGAUACCCUGGUAGUCCACGCAGUAAACUAUGGACACUAGGUAUAGGGAGUAUCGACCCUCUCUGUGCCGAAGCUAACGCUUUAAGUGUCCCGCCUGGGGAGUACGGCCGCAAGGCUA